AUACUUACCUGGCAGGGGAGACACCAUGAUCAAGAAGGUGGUUCACCCAGGGCGAGGCUCGGCCAUUGCACUCCGGUUGGUUGUGUGAGAAAAGCUAAAAUGAAUACACAUGCAGUAUAUGACAAUUGUCGACAGUAUGGCACUGCAGGCCCACAGGCCGUA
Small nuclear RNA from Solea senegalensis (Senegalese sole), 162 nucleotides. RefSeq annotates it as U1 spliceosomal RNA. NCBI's taxonomy places the organism in Eukaryota, Metazoa, Chordata, Actinopteri, Pleuronectiformes, Soleidae. The record is from RefSeq and is a predicted model, not a curated record. The transcript has a single exon.